RNAcentral lists this ribosomal RNA (253 nucleotides) under uncultured bacterium. RNAcentral's name for it is "partial 16S ribosomal RNA". It matches the Rfam family "Bacterial small subunit ribosomal RNA", at positions 524 to 776 of the family's 1533-position model. The record is from RNAcentral.
GACGAACCACCCAAACGUUAUUCGGAAUUACUGGGCUUAAAGGGUGCGUAGGCUGUGCGGAAAGUUGGGUGUGAAAUACCUCAGCUUAACUGAGGAACUGCGCUCAAAACUACCGUGCUCGAGGGAGACAGAGGUGAGCGGAACUUAGGGUGGAGCGGUGAAAUGCGUUGAUAUCCUAAGGAACACCGGUGGCGAAAGCGGCUCACUGGAUCUCUUCUGACGCUGAGGCACGAAAGCUAGGGUAGCGAACGGG